CGUGUCUAGGAACCGACAGAAUUCAAAGUCCAAUCAUUAAUUUGUAUAAAACAACUUCACGAGGGAAAAGAUACCACAGCAGCAAGCUCUUCAGAAAAGUUAGACUUUAUUUGCACAGGUGCACAAAGCCGGAUCAAUUCUGCAGAAUUGAACCUCGAUUGUCAGUUUUACAUUCAUCUUAUACACUGUGUACCCCACAACUCCCCCUAACACAUUCCUUACAAUACCAUCUGUCCUUCUUGGCACCACAAUGAUUUCCUGUUCUUGGGUCUACCUGACCUUCUUGGCACCACAAUGAUUUUCUGUUCUUGGGUGAUAACAUCAUUGUGGAAAGUUACCCCAACUUUCCCUUAAAAAAUAUUAGUCUUUAUUCUGUAAUUUUCCAUUAAGAAUACAAGUCACAGCCUCCUGUAAUUUUCCAUUGUAUUCAGGUUACAUAGGGGUCACUGUAAAAUAUUAUGUAUGGUUAGUAUUUGAUUAAUGUUUUCUGCUGAGUGAGUAAGUGUGUUUUUUUUUUAAGCCUUCUGCGUUCUCUUGCUUUUUUUCUACAGUUGAUACUGUGGUUUCUUGCGUUUC
Anguilla rostrata (American eel) is the source of this 576-nucleotide long non-coding RNA. RefSeq lists it as uncharacterized. Lineage: Eukaryota; Metazoa; Chordata; Actinopteri; Anguilliformes; Anguillidae. The record is from RefSeq and is a predicted model, not a curated record. The transcript has 2 exons.